AAGAGAUAGCAGAGGAGAUGUAGAUGGAUUGUCUGGGACUCCAAAGUGGAAUGUUUUCAGAGCUGGGAUUUGCCUUUCUUUGUGCCAUGGGAAGGUGACCCUUAUGGACCAUAUCUCCUGAGCUCCAUUGCUGGUGGACUUAGAUUCAAUCCAUCUUUGAAGAUCAGAAGAUACAGCGAGCUCAGAAACCAUGUGUUAAAGAUUGAGGAGCCACAGAAUGGAAGAAGAGUCACUCAUUAAUCAGGACACCCAUUUUGGUCUUUAUGAGCCUCAUAAAGUGGAUAAGAUUAUUUUUAUUGAGUGCCUUUGAAUCUAAGGCACAAAGGUUGAGUGGAUUUCCUAAAGUCAAGACAUUCGGAGGGAUCUGAGUCAAAAGUAGAAUCCAUACCUGCUGGUUUCCAACCUUAGAUAUGUCACGAGGAUCUUCUGGACCACAUGAUUGCUCUGGGCUUGGUGAGAACAAUCGAAGGAAUGUGAAUAAUAUUAUUGACAGGAAGUGAAAG
This is a long non-coding RNA of Phacochoerus africanus (Common warthog), 503 nucleotides long. RefSeq lists it as uncharacterized. The record is from RefSeq and is a predicted model, not a curated record. NCBI's taxonomy places the organism in Eukaryota, Metazoa, Chordata, Mammalia, Artiodactyla, Suidae. The transcript has 5 exons.